CCCCAGUCGGCGUUUGCGUCUCGUCUCGCCUCCGCACCGCACCGCUCUGUGCAGUUUCAGGAAUCUGACAGCGGGAAGUCGCCGAAACAAGAACGCGUUCGCUCCACGGACAGUUCCAGGCUGCGGCAGAUGAUGCAGCCACCGGUAACAACCACAGAAACAUGCAAGUCUUUGACCUUUGGAUAAUUGCAGACUACAGCAGAUGUAAGUAGAAACAUACCGAGCGUCUGAAUUAGGCAAAUGGAUACGGCAUAUUGUGUGUCGUAUUUUGUCUAGAUUGUACUAAGCAUAUAUUGCGCUACGGAAAGACCGCCUUUACAUGGGCUGCCGCAUCAGGUAUCGCAAUCAUAGGAACAUCAUUUCAAUUUACCGUUUCCAACCACCACAUCUGGGUGGUCAAGUAAUCAC
Molecule: long non-coding RNA, 408 nt
Organism: Schistocerca serialis cubense
Lineage: Eukaryota; Metazoa; Arthropoda; Insecta; Orthoptera; Acrididae
Exons: 3
Source: RefSeq, a predicted model, not a curated record